UCGUAGCUCAACUGGACAGAGCGCCAGUCUUGUAAACUGGGGGUUGUAGGUUCGAGUCCUACCGGGAGAU
Molecule: transfer RNA, 70 nt
Filed under: Agrobacterium tumefaciens
Lineage: Bacteria; Pseudomonadati; Pseudomonadota; Alphaproteobacteria; Hyphomicrobiales; Rhizobiaceae
Description: tRNA-Thr
Rfam family: tRNA
About the family: Transfer RNA (tRNA) molecules are approximately 80 nucleotides in length. Their secondary structure includes four short double-helical elements and three loops (D, anti-codon, and T loops).
Source: RNAcentral